Long non-coding RNA from Thalassophryne amazonica, 96 nucleotides. RefSeq lists it as uncharacterized. The record is from RefSeq and is a predicted model, not a curated record. The transcript has 3 exons. Lineage: Eukaryota; Metazoa; Chordata; Actinopteri; Batrachoidiformes; Batrachoididae.
GCCACUCUGAAAGCGUGUUAAUGGGGCGGCACAGCAAAACAGUUGUUCAUUUUGUGAUAAAAGCAUGGAAUUUGGCACACAUAUUCUAAAUUAACU